GAGCUCCACCUGCCCGGGUUUGUUGUUCGGAGUUUGCUCUCCUAGGCAGAUUGCCUACCACGGCUGACGAGCUCCACCUGCCCGGGUUUGUUGUUCGGAGUUUGCUCUCCUAGGUGAAUUGCCUACCACGGCUAACGACCUCCACCUGCCCGGGUUUGUUUAGAGUUUGCUCUCCUAGGUGAAUUGCCUCCCACGGCUAACGACCUCCACCUGCCCGGGUUUAUUGUUCGGAGUUUGCUCUCCUAGGUGAAUUGCCUCCCACGGCUAACGACCUCCACCUGCCCGGGUUUAUUGUUCGGAGUUUGCUCUCCUAGGUGAAUUGCCUCCCACGGCUAACGACCUCCACCUGCCCGGGUUUAUUGUUCGGAGUUUGCUCUCCUAGGUGAAUUGCCUCCCACGGCUAACGACCUCCACCUGCCCGGGUUUAUUGUUCGGAGUUUGCUCUCCUAGGUGAAUUGCCUACCACGGCUAACGACCUCCACCUGCCCGGGUUUGUAUAGAGUUUGCUCUCCUAGGUGAAUUGCCUACCACGGCUAACGAGCCUCACCUGCCCGGGUUUGUAUAGAGUUUG
Long non-coding RNA from Eriocheir sinensis (Chinese mitten crab), 571 nucleotides. RefSeq lists it as uncharacterized. The transcript has 6 exons. The record is from RefSeq and is a predicted model, not a curated record. NCBI's taxonomy places the organism in Eukaryota, Metazoa, Arthropoda, Malacostraca, Decapoda, Varunidae.